RNAcentral lists this ribosomal RNA (452 nucleotides) under uncultured Methanolinea sp. RNAcentral describes it as "bacterial SSU rRNA". It matches the Rfam family "Archaeal small subunit ribosomal RNA", at positions 887 to 1338 of the family's 1478-position model. The record is from RNAcentral. Lineage: Archaea; Methanobacteriati; Methanobacteriota; Methanomicrobia; Methanomicrobiales; Methanoregulaceae.
AGUGGAGCCUGCGGUUUAAUCGGACUCAACGCCGGGAAACUCACCAGAUAAGACAGCUGAAUGAUAGUCGGGCUGAAGACUCUACUUGACUAGCUGAGAGGAGGUGCAUGGCCGUCGUCAGUUCGUACUGUGAAGCAUCCUGUUAAGUCAGGCAACGAGCGAGACCCACGCCAACAGUUGCCAGCAUGUCCUCCGGGAUGAUGGGGACACUGUUGGGACCGCCUCUGCUAAAGAGGAGGAAGGAAUGGGCAACGGUAGGUCAGCAUGCCCCGAAUUAUCCGGGCUACACGCGGGCUACAAUGGUCAGGACAAUGGGUAUCGACACCGAGAGGUGGAGGCAAUCUCCUAAACCUGUCCUUAGUUCGGAUUGUGGGCUGCAACUCGCCCACAUGAAGCUGGAAUCCGUAGUAAUCGCGUUUCAAAAUAGCGCGGUGAAUAUGUCCCUGCUCCUU